RNAcentral lists this transfer RNA (70 nucleotides) under Platambus maculatus. RNAcentral's name for it is "tRNA-Met". It matches the Rfam family "tRNA". Rfam says of the family: Transfer RNA (tRNA) molecules are approximately 80 nucleotides in length. The record is from RNAcentral. Lineage: Eukaryota; Metazoa; Arthropoda; Insecta; Coleoptera; Dytiscidae.
AAAAAGAUAAGCUAAAAAAGCUUUUAGGUUCAUACCCCAAAUAUAAAGGUUACUAACCCUUUUCUUUUUA